Molecule: small nucleolar RNA, 133 nt
Filed under: Cavia porcellus (domestic guinea pig)
Lineage: Eukaryota; Metazoa; Chordata; Mammalia; Rodentia; Caviidae
Description: Small nucleolar RNA SNORA1 (ENSCPOG00000028958.2)
Source: RNAcentral
AGCCUGGCAAGUGCAAGGUUGAGUUCAGUCCCUGAUAUCAACAUUGGUCAUUGUGGCUAAAGUUGAGACACAAGUCAUGCUUAUAUCCCACAGUAAAUGUAUUACAAUGGUGACACUGAAACCUGUAACAUUU